This 965-nucleotide long non-coding RNA is filed under the name Homo sapiens (human). RNAcentral's name for it is "HSALNT0209749". Lineage: Eukaryota; Metazoa; Chordata; Mammalia; Primates; Hominidae. The record is from RNAcentral.
GUUCUAGUCUCUGAAUAUCUGCUUUGCUACUCAGAUCUUAAUCUUUCCAGAGGUCUUUUUUUGCUCAAGUGACUUUAAAAAGAAGUCCAACUGGAAAAAGACUACUUCUAAGGGAAGUGAAGCCCAAGGAGAGGCCAGUGGUAUCACUAAGCAAAGGAGAGAAAUACAAGAGUUUGGAACUACAAAAGCAGCAAGAAAUUCUGGGAUAGAGAACUGGAGAUGAGGAAGAUGUGCAGAAAUGGAGCCCAAAAACUCUACCCAGGAGGUUCUUGGCUGAAAGAUUGGCAGCAGAUAUGUAGAAAGAGAUACCACAAGGCCUAACAGAGGGUGGAGUUUGCGGGGCUCAGAGCUGUCCCACAAGAGAGACGCAAUGGGUCUUCCAAUGCUGAGAGAUGUUUGGCCACUCUUCCACCCUCACUGUGUACUUCAGUCAUUUAGUUUGGACUCCAGAAAGGACAUGUCUAAGGAAUAAGAACCACUUUAAAGUAGGAAUAUGCCGUAAGACUAAGGAAAAAAUAGAGCAGCUCUAAAAUAACAACAACAACAACAACAAAACCAAGCGUGAAAUAAAAGGAUUUACUACUAACAACCUAACAAAACAAAAUUAAAUAUCUUUUUUAGUAAAAAAUAGACAACAUAAUGAAGACAAAAUAAUUACCACAAUGUCCAGCAUAAGAUUUGAAAAAAUACUAAAUUUGCGAGCCGCAGGAAAAUGUGUACUAAAAUUGAGAAAAAUGCUGCCAAUAGAAACAGAAUUCCAAAUGAUUUGCAGUUUGGAAUUAGCAGACAAGAACUUUGAAGGGCUAUAAAAAUGUACAAAGACACAUAAAAAAAUGUGGGCCUCAAGAACAAACAGAUAAGAAAUGUCUCCAGAGAAAUGGAAACUCUAAAGUAUUCAAUUUCUAGAACGUGUUAAGCAUAUAUCUCUGAUAUGGUUUGCCUGUGUCCCCACCCAAAUCUCAACU